UGGGGGAUAUUGCACAAUGGGGGAAACCCUGAUGCAGCGACGCCGCGUGUAGGAAGACGGUCCUCUGGAUUGUAAACUACUGUCUUCGGGGACGAUAAUGACGGUACCCGAAGAGGAAGCUCCGGCUAACUACGUGCCAGCAGCCGCGGUAAUACGUAGGGAGCGAGCGUUGUCCGGAAUUACUGGGCGUAAAGGGUGUGUAGGCGGUUUUGUAAGAUAGCGGUGAAAUGCCGGGGCUCAACCUCGGAAUAGCCGUUAUGACUAUGGGACUAGAAUUAUGGAGAGGAUAGUGGAAUACCCAGUGUAGAGGUGAAAUUCGUAGAUAUUGGGUAGAACACCAGUGGCGAAGGCGGCCUGCUGGGCUUUUACUGACGCUGAGGCUCGAAAGUGUGGGUAUCAAACA
Molecule: ribosomal RNA, 403 nt
Filed under: uncultured bacterium
Lineage: Bacteria
Description: bacterial SSU rRNA
Rfam family: Bacterial small subunit ribosomal RNA
Source: RNAcentral